GCUGCCGGUUGAAUAGCGUUGGCAGUGACUUUUGUUCAUUCAUCGGGUGAAGUACGUAAUAAAAUAUUUGUAUAGAAUACUUGUUGAAAAUAAUAAUAAAUAUUAUUUUUUGGACAUUUAAAAUAAGGAUAAUAUUUUGUGAGGCUGCCACAGGAUUGAAUAAAUUAUAUUGAAGGAUAUCUUACAAAAAGCCACAUCAUGGAUAUGAAUUUUAUGAACGAGGCAACUGAAUAUUUACCAGCCACUAUACCAGACGUCAAACAUUUUGAGUUGAAAGUGUUGGAGGAGAAGUUGGAAAAAUUAUAUGUCGGACUUGAUACAAUGAAAGCGCAUUUAUUCACAUAUCAAAAUGUACGGCAAUGCACCAUAGAGGAGACCAGAAACAUAUUAAACCCAGACUUGGCUAAUCUUAUUGAUGAAUACGAAAGCAUUCAGUAUAAAUUGUUGGAUAUAUUAAAACUUUGGCAACGGAAACAAGCCUUGGCAAUUCUAAGUGAACCUUUACCCUGUCAUUUGGAUGAGAUACAAUAUAUUGUUGAGAUAUUGAUGGAUCGAAUAGAAGAUAUUAAAUUAUUUAUUGCUACUUUAUUAAGUUUUGAAUAUGAGCCGAAACUUGAAAACCAUUCGCAGCGCGUCCAACGCUUACAACACGUUCUUAUAGUUUCAUCAUUCAUCGUAGAGGAGCAGCCACCACAAGUUAAGAAGAAAUUGACGAAAUUUUCGGCGAAAAUACGUUGGUUAAUUGCAAAUAAAUUGAAUAUAUACUCGAGCAAGCCGAAAGUGGUGUGUGCAGUACUUUCGGAGGCUCAGGUUAAAGAGAUUGAUCUAGAAAGUUUGCAAAUCCCUGUCAUACAUCAAGGCAGCAUGUCGGGUAAUGAGUGUGAAAUGAACUACGACAACGAUAGUCGUCGCUUUUCAGCAGAGUUUGCAAAUCUUACAAUUACAAAUAUCGAUCGUUCGGAAAGGAGAGGCAGUGAAAGCGUUAAAGAUGAGAAAUGCGCUUUACUAUUCUAUACUACAGUUAAUGUGGGAUACCCAAUUAAGUGCGGCGCUCUUACGCUGCCAAUGGUGGUCACUGUGCACGAUAUGCAAGCGCCACAAGCGUGGGCCACAAUAACUUGGGAUAAUGCUUUCUCAUCGAUAAAGCGUGUACCGUUUAAAGUGCCAGAUAGAGUACAUAUUUCAGGAAUAUUGGAGAUGUUAAGCAUGAAUUUUGCCCAUACAACGGGUCGUCCUUUAUCCUAUGAAAACAUGGAAUUUCUUCGAAAGAAACUGCUAGGCACUGAUAACGGUCUGGUUGAUGAAUAUGUAAGUUACGCUCAAAUUGCCCGCGAUAAGAUACCACCAGAGCACAAAUUUACAUUUUGGGAAUGGUUUUAUGGUGUAAAGAAAUUAACAAGAGAAUACUUCAAAGAAACAUGGAUGAGUGGGCACGUGGUUGGAUUUAUAAGUAAAAAUGAAGCUAAGCGUAUACUAUCGCUUGAAGAAAAUGGUACAUUCUUGAUUCGCUUCUCGGAUAGCGUAAUAGGUGGAAUAACAGUUGCCUAUCGAGAUUUCUAUGGUCAACUAAAAAUCAUAUCACCAUGGAAAUGGCAGGAUCUUCAAACACGCUCCUUAUCCGAUCGUAUUAGGGAUGUGGACAUCCUGAGUGUCGUAUAUCCAACAAGGACACCAAGUGUUUUAGCAUUUUGUCGUUCAACACAUGCAAAUCGUGUAACCACUCGUGACGGUUACGACGGAACGAUGGAACUUCGGGUGCAAAUUACUUCACAGCCUGCGAACAAUUUCGGCCAACAAAUGUAACUAAAUAAAAUGUGUAUAUUUCAAGUAUAUGUAUUAAACUUUACUACAAAAGCCAGCAACAAAUUUCACAAACAGCCAACAGCGAACAUUCAUUAUCCUCUCCUAAUAACAACGAUU
RNAcentral lists this unclassified non-coding RNA (1920 nucleotides) under Ceratitis capitata (Mediterranean fruit fly). RNAcentral describes it as "signal transducer and transcription activator, transcript variant X1". The record is from RNAcentral. Lineage: Eukaryota; Metazoa; Arthropoda; Insecta; Diptera; Tephritidae.